RNAcentral lists this ribosomal RNA (305 nucleotides) under uncultured bacterium. RNAcentral's name for it is "partial 16S ribosomal RNA". It matches the Rfam family "Bacterial small subunit ribosomal RNA", at positions 502 to 809 of the family's 1533-position model. The record is from RNAcentral.
ACAGCAGCAGCCGCGGUAAUACGGUGGGUGCAAGCGUUAUCCGGAUUUAUUGGGUUUAAAGGGUCCGUAGGCGGAUCUGUAAGUCAGUGGUGAAAUCUCACAGCUUAACUGUGAAACUGCCAUUGAUACUGCAGGUCUUGAGUAAAUUUGAAGUGGCUGGAAUAAGUAGUGUAGCGGUGAAAUGCAUAGAUAUUACUUAGAACACCAAUUGCGAAGGCAGGUCACUAAGAUUUAACUGACGCUGAUGGACGAAAGCGUGGGGAGCGAACAGGAUUAGAUACCCCAGUAGUCCCUGUCUCUUAUAA